RNAcentral lists this ribosomal RNA (163 nucleotides) under uncultured bacterium. RNAcentral describes it as "partial 16S ribosomal RNA". It matches the Rfam family "Bacterial small subunit ribosomal RNA", at positions 355 to 509 of the family's 1533-position model. The record is from RNAcentral.
UAGGGAAUUUUCGUCAAUGGGGGCAACCCUGAACGAGCAAUGCCGCGUGAGCGAAGAAGGUCUUCGGAUUGUAAAGCUCUGUUGCCGGGGAAAAAGGAAGGAAAGAGGAAAUGGCUUUUCUUUGGAUGGUACCCGGCCAGAAAGUCACGGCUAACUACGUGCC